RNAcentral lists this ribosomal RNA (504 nucleotides) under uncultured bacterium. Its description in RNAcentral is "bacterial SSU rRNA". It matches the Rfam family "Bacterial small subunit ribosomal RNA", at positions 31 to 518 of the family's 1533-position model. The record is from RNAcentral.
GAACGCUGGCGGCGUGCUUAACACAUGCAAGUCGAACGCGAAAGGGACUCGGUCCUGAGUAAAGUGGCGCACGGGUGAGUAACGCGUGGAUAAUCUGCCCUUAUGAUCGGGAUAACAGUUGGAAACGGCUGCUAAUACCGGAUACGCUCAAAAUGAACUUUUUGAGGAAAGAUGGCCUCUGCUUGCAUGCUAUCACGUAAGGAUGAGUCCGCGUCCCAUUAGCUUGUUGGCGGGGUAACGGCCCACCAAGGCAACGAUGGGUAGCCGAUUUGAGAGGAUGAUCGGCCACACUGGAACUGAAACACGGUCCAGACUCCUACGGGAGGCAGCAGUGGGGAAUAUUGCGCAAUGGGCGAAAGCCUGACGCAGCGACGCCGCGUGGGGGAUGAAAGGUUUUCGGAUCGUAAACCUCUGUCAGAAGGGAAGAAACUACGUUGUGCUAAUCAGCAGCGUACUGACGGUACCUUCAAAGGAAGCACCGGCUAACUCCGUGCCAGCAGCAGC